This is a long non-coding RNA of Cyprinus carpio (common carp), 1394 nucleotides long. The record is from Ensembl. NCBI's taxonomy places the organism in Eukaryota, Metazoa, Chordata, Actinopteri, Cypriniformes, Cyprinidae.
ACAAGGACGGUGCUGUGCUCUACUGUGGUGGAGAGGAGUGGAGCAGACGCCUGGCAGACUCACACUCGCACACACUGGCUCAGAGAGACUGAGAGAGAAAGAGAGAGAGCCCAGCGUCACAUCUGCGGGGCUGGGAAGCCUUUCAUCUCACUUCCUCUCACCUGCUGCCCUCCCUCUUCAGUCCUGGUGAUUCCCAGCCCCCCUUCAUUCCUCUCCCACCUCCUCCCUUUGUCAGUGUCCUGUCCUGCAUCCAAAAGUCCUCAUUCUGUCUGGUCCACACCUGAGAAUACAGACUAUCAAGAGGCUAUGGCUGGUUACCCCCCCCCCACCAACCUGCAAUGCACCUAUGACUUCAUACAGCACUUCUGGAUCCUGUCUACUUCUGUCAGGGCUGAGAAUGCAUGAUUGCCCAUGAUCAUCCCCUACCAUUACUCACAAGACAAACAGACCUGAGAACAACAUUGUGCCGCUUAUUGGAUUAAAUAGAUUUAUUAAAGGCAUAAACAAGGAUUUGAGAUAAUUGAGCUCUCAUGGACUGAUCUCCACCCGGGUCGUGAAUAUCUCAUCAUGACAACAGUGAGUAACCAUUGACCUCUGACCUUUUUUAUUUGUCAAAAGUUAAAAGAUGAUUCAUUUUCAGUCAUUAUAUUCUGGCAUAUACUGUGACAUCCAGGGGUUACGCAGAUUGCAAUGCAGCAAAUAAUUGCAUUUGCCACUAAUUUUGGUUGUGCAUCUUAAGUUGACAUAACAAUCCUAUACCAAGUGAUCAAAGAACACAUUUAUACCUUUCAUCACAUAUAUGGUAUUGGGUUUGUUUGCAGUGUUUGGGGACUGAGUGAUGGUAAGUGUCCUGUUUGACAUGGGGCUCUUUUACACCUAUCCCUCUGAGCUAACAAGCCUCCGGAGGAAGAUUCCCUCUAAUUAGGGUCAAACAUAACACUCUGCCUGCUGUCUCUAUCUGACCCUCAGGGUCUAUACGGUUUGCCUUUGUUCACAUCACAGGCAAAUGUAUAGGACAAGACAAGAAAGGGAUAAAUCCAUUAUAGUGCACAGGCAAUAUUUGGGAUUUUUGGCAGUUCUAACUCCAGAUACAUUGCUUAAAGUUAAACCCAAAUUGCUAAUAUGAAAGGAUCAGUUAUGUAUUUUUUGGAAUUAUAUGACGUAAAACAGCUAAGUACUGGUCUGGUGCAGCUGUAAAUAACUGUGAGAACAGUAAGUUACUGUGGAAGAAAAAUCAACAACCACUUCAGUGGAAGUCAGCGUUAUUUCUGCCACUCUUCUCCAUUGCGGUGGCUGUUAUGAUAUAAGGGCACUGAGUGAAGCGGCUCUUUCUUUCAUGAAAGGGGGACCAGGAGGCAACUGAAUGAAUGAAAGGGGGGGAUUGUUCCCUAGUC